Long non-coding RNA from Myotis lucifugus (little brown bat), 1615 nucleotides. RefSeq lists it as uncharacterized. The transcript is spliced from 3 exons. Lineage: Eukaryota; Metazoa; Chordata; Mammalia; Chiroptera; Vespertilionidae. The record is from RefSeq and is a predicted model, not a curated record.
CAUGCAUUGGUUGCCUCCUGCCCGCACCCCAACCUGGGCCUGGAUGAAACUGCAACACAGAUUGGGAAACUGAGAUAAAGCAGGAGGAAGUAACUGGUCUAAGCAAGUAAACACAGUUCCACUGACCACAGGACACCAAGUUGGAUUUCUGCCCAAGAUGUCAACAUGUAUCGCCUGGCUCCCCACUCCCUCGCCCUGUCUCCAGCUGUGUUUUCUUUGGAUUUCUGCAUGGCUUGGAGAAGCUGUGUCAGCCCAUCUCCCAUCCUGACCUUUCUCCCACCCCCAACACCCACCCUGGCCAUCCCUCAGGAAGUGACCUCCACCCUCUCCCUCUGCCUGAGCCCAUGAGCAUUGCAAUGCAUGUGCCUGUAUUGGUCAGCAUGGGUGAGCCUGGGCACCUGUGAUAGGGGACCCAGUUAGAACUAGGGGCAGAGUGUGUUGGGUGGGGGAGGGGGCAGAUUCAGGCUAGGAGAUUAUAUCUCCCAAACAGGUGGAAUGACCACUUGUUUCAAGAAAGCAGUUGGACAGAACUGUCCCCUUGGGGGGCAGACAUUUACCAAAUGGAGAGACGGGAAAUAAAGGGCUAUGGCUUUCUGAGUUCAGUUCAGAGCUGUCGACAGCUUUCUGUGGCGUCUAAACCUUGGAGACCUGGUCUUUUGCCUUCUCCCAUUUCCCAUUUGCCUUCUCCCAUUUCCUCCUUGCAGACCAGUUCCUCUUUUCUGUCGAAGGAGACAGCCACCUGGUCCCCAAAGGCCCUUCCAGGGCCUUCCUAACGACUGCAAGAAGCACCCAACACAUUCCAGCAUCUUGAAAAUUUUUCCAUGAGGCUCUAAUACUACACAAAUGCUGACAUAAACAGACUUUGAUCUGACAAGGACUGCCAGCCCUCCAUCCAGGAAUCAUGAGGACAUCUUAGCCCUCCAGUUUCCCUCCUCUCUUCACCCUGCUAGAUCCAUAAUUCAUCACCCCCUUCCCACCCCACCCUCAGUGCUAAAUUCUGCUCCUCUCUGUUUUCUCCAUCUCAGAUCAUGGCACACCCUCCACCCAGAUGCUCGAUUGAGUCAAAAACAACAGGAGUCAUGUUUAACUCCUGUUUUCUUUCUACCACAUGUCAGCAAAUAAUUGUGUCUCCACCUCCCAAAGAUGUCCCACAUCUAUACUUUCUCUUCCAUUUGCACCAACACUAGCGCAGUGGUCGGCAAACUCAUUAGUCAACAGAGCCAAAUAUCAACAGUACAACGAUUGAAAUUUCUUUUGAGAGCCAAAUUUUUUAAACUUAAACUAUAUAGGUAGGUACAUUGUUAUUAACUUAAUUAGGGUACUCCUAAGGCUUAGGAAGAGCCACACUCAAGGGGCCAAAGAGCCGCGUGUGGCUCGCGAGCCGCAGUUUGCCGACCGCGGCACUAGUGCAAGCCAGUUUCAUCUUUUACCUGGACAACUUGCCCCACCUCCCUGCCCCACUAUUGCCCCUGUAGUUCUAGUCUUACUGCACUAACCAAAGCCAUCUUUAAAAAUAGAAACUAUAGCAUUUUACCACCCCUCUCAAAACCCUCCAUUGCCCCCUCCCCCCAUUGCACACAAAAUAAAAGCUGGACUCUGGCCAUGACCGCUGAAA